AGUGAACGCUGGCGGUAGGCCUAACACAUGCAAGUCGAACGGCAGCACAGUAAGAGCUUGCUCUUACGGGUGGCGAGUGGCGGACGGGUGAGGAAUACAUCGUAAUCUACUUUUUCGUGGGGGAUAACGUAGGGAAACUUACGCUAAUACCGCAUACGACCUACGGGUGAAAGCAGGGGAUCUUCGCACCUUGCGCGAUUGAAUGAGCCGAUGGCGGAUUGGCUAGUUGGCGGGGUAAAGGCCCACCAAGGCGACGAUCCGUAGCUGGUCUGAGAGGAUGAUCAGCCACACUGGAACUGAGACACGGUCCAGACUCCUACGGGAGGCAGCAGUGGGGAAUAUUGGACAAUGGGCGCAAGCCUGAUCCAGCCAUACCGCGUGGGUGAAGAAGGCCUUCGGGUUGUAAAGCCCUUUUGUUGGGAAAGAAAAGCAGCAGGUUAAUACCCCGCUGUUCUGACGGUACCCAAAGAAUAAGCACCGGCUAACUUCGUG
RNAcentral lists this ribosomal RNA (492 nucleotides) under uncultured bacterium. RNAcentral describes it as "partial 16S ribosomal RNA". It matches the Rfam family "Bacterial small subunit ribosomal RNA", at positions 29 to 507 of the family's 1533-position model. The record is from RNAcentral.